UAUUUAGAAGACAUCUGAAGAAUACCAAAGGUUUACCGGUAUGGGAUGGGGAUGCGUCUGAUUAGCUUGUUGGCGGGGUAACGGCCCACCAAGGCAACGAUCAGUAGGGGUUCUGAGAGGAAGGUCCCCCACAUUGGUACUGAGACACGGACCAAACUCCUACGGGAGGCAGCAGUGAGGAAUAUUGGUCAAUGGGCGAGAGCCUGAACCAGCCAAGUAGCGUGCAGGAUGACGGCCCUAUGGGUUGUAAACUGCUUUUGUACGGGAAUAAAGUGUGGGACGUGUCCCAUUUUUGUAUGUACCGUAAGAAUAAGGACCGGCUAAUUCCGUGCCAGCAGCCGCGGUAAUACGGAAGGUCCGGGCGUUAUCCGGAUUUAUUGGGUUUAAAGGGAGCGCAGGCUGGAGAUUAAGCGUGACGUGAAAUGCCGCGGCUCAACCGUGGAAGUGCGUCGCGAACUGGUUUCCUUGAGUG
Molecule: ribosomal RNA, 472 nt
Filed under: uncultured bacterium
Lineage: Bacteria
Description: bacterial SSU rRNA
Rfam family: Bacterial small subunit ribosomal RNA
Source: RNAcentral